AUGCCAUGGUGAGGGCACUUCACUAGCAUCCCUUUAAAUCUUUCCCAAGUUUCUUGCAAGGACUCAGUUGGGUGCUGCUUAAACUGCAAUAUUUCAUCAAUCUGUCU
RNAcentral lists this small nucleolar RNA (107 nucleotides) under Nicotiana attenuata. RNAcentral describes it as "Plant small nucleolar RNA R71". It matches the Rfam family "Plant small nucleolar RNA R71". From Rfam's summary of the family: R71 is a member of the C/D box family of snoRNAs containing the C (UGAUGA) and D (CUGA) box motifs. The record is from Rfam by way of RNAcentral. Lineage: Eukaryota; Viridiplantae; Streptophyta; Magnoliopsida; Solanales; Solanaceae.